GUCAUAGUAACUGGAAUACUGAAGAAAUAAUAAGCGACAUUCUCAGCUUCUCAAGUCUGAGGGUGUCCCUUGGGCAAACUGGACUCUGAUGAUAUUAAGCAGAGGGCUGAAGUGAAGGGUCCUCCUGAGGAGGGAGGCCUUCCAAUGGAAGUUUCUUUCUCCCUCUACCUAUUCUCCAUGAGGUAACUGCCCAGAACAUCAUCAUCCAAGCUAUCCACGCACGCUUCUCUGUGCUUCACAAGCAGAGGCCCCAGUGGAAGAGACCCUGGCCUGUAUCCACCUCUCUCAAGGAAAUGAAGGAAAAAGGACUGUGCAGCACAUAUACUUAAAAUAAAAGAAGAAGAAGGAAAAAGGACUAAAGCCCAACAACUUAUGUAAACUAUGUUUACUACGCACCUUGGCCGUGAAGUCGGGAUGAGGGCAACGUGGCCUCAGAGGGCUGCCAUUAGGAUUCAAGGAGAUGACACAGGUCAGCAAGCCCUUUCUUCAUAAACAGUCCCCAAAGAACAGCCAGCCCAGUUUCUGUCAGGAGGGUCGCAAAUCUAGCCUCAGUGGGGGAUCGGAAUGAAAAGAGAUUGGACUCAACUUCUCCGGUAGCUGGGUGGCGGAGGAAGCCCUCAUGAGCUCAUUUCUCCAUCAAAUACAAGCUGGGGUCUAAAGUUUCAAAACACAGGCUGGGGCAUGCUGGCACAGUCCCACGAGAGGACAAAGAAAAGAGAAAAGAGGCUGGAUGGAAGAGAAGCCACCACACGGCAGGUUCCACAACUAACUGUCGGGAGGAGGCUCCCAGGCUGGCUUCCAGCCACAUCCGCUCUCUGCACAGCUCUGAGACCGCAGGAAGAAGGGACCCCCACCAUGUCUGUAUUUACAGCUGGGAACUGGCAUGGGCACGGGAAACUCGGAAAUAAACUCUGUCAGGAAGCGAGAACUGGAAGAUGCUUCCAUAGCAACGCCCAUCUGGAGCUCCCUGCCCGCAGCUGGAAACAUUCAGAAGCGAAGCUUAUCUAGAGAUGUCCACCAAAUUCAUUUUUUCCAUUUGCACUUGGAAUAUGUUACUUAAACUUCACUUCUCUGGGGAGCCUCUGGGAAGCCCCUAUUCUUUGGCUCAAAAAAAUCCUAUCCUGAACAUUUAGGACACAGGACUCAUCAGGGUGGCUGUGUGUUUCUCCCUCUCUCUGUGGAGAGGUGGGCUGUGUCUGCCUUGUUCACUGGUACCUGGCCCAGAACAGGUCUUUAAUCCAUGCUUCCUGAUUAAAGAAGUCAACUGGUUUGUUCUCGAUUUGGUUAUUCAUAACUUUAGCUACCAUGUAAGCACCUGUAUGCACAUGGCAAUGAACUGAGAUGCACGACACCCCAUGAGGGACUUACUACUGUUACGCCCACUUUGAAAAUGAGGCUCCUUCUCAAGGUCAAAGCCACAAAAGAACUGGAGUUCUUUCAUCUCAAGAGAAGGAUAGGAGAGAGUGUGACUAUCUAUCUAAAGUAGGGCUGGACAGGUAGAGGGACAUAUAAUGAGUCGGCUCUGACACUAAGAACUUUUUGAGUAGAAAUGUUAUAGAGCUGGAGUGUAUCCCUCAUCGAGGAACUCUGGAACACAUGCUUCUUGGGACACAAACAUUAAACAGCCUGCUACAUCCCGGGAGAAUUCUACCCAACCUUCCCAGAAACCACAGCUCAUAUGAUUCCUUACCUUUAACAUAUUUUUUUCUGCUUAUGAAAGCAAUAUAUGCUUAUAUAUGCAUAUAAAAAAAACUUGGAAAAUAAAGAAAGUGCAAAGAAGAAUAUAAAGUUACCCAUCAUCUUCCCACCAAGGGAUAACCACUGUAAAGAUGUUGGUUUAUUUCCUUCCAGUCUUUUUUUUCUAGUGUGAACAGUGUGUGUAUAGGAGAGAUAUGGAAAGAGAGAUUUUUUUCCCCCUUUAAAGUCUCCUACCUGUGCUUUUCUGUGAGACUUUUAAACAUCAAGUGAAAAAUAAUAUUUUCAAGUGGCAAAAUUAAGCCUAUUUCCUCAAACUACAGACGUGGGGAGGAAGGAGCCUUCCCUGUUCCUCUCCUCCAAUUUCUGCUUCCACCUGACCCCUACUACAGACCAGCAGUUCUCAAUCCUAACUGUGCCUGACCAUAACAGUAACUGCCACAGUCAGCAUUAACUGAGCAACUACUACAGAAGAGGCCAUUUAAAACAUUUUACAGAUAUUCUCUAAUUUAAUCCUUACAAUCCUAUGAGGCAGAUAUCAUCAUCAUUUUACAGAUGAGGAAACUGAGGCAAAAAAGGUUAAGUGACUUUCCCAAGGUCAUCUGGCUGUUAAAUGGUGGUGUUGGAACUUGAACCCAGGCCAUGAGGCUCAAGGCGUCCCCUUUUCCCUGGUCCACACUGCUCAAGACCUCGGCAACAGUGACACCAACCCUGAGCUUCAGGGCAAGGUUCCCAAUGUUCCUACUGCCAAGCGUGUCAUCAUGAUUAUUCAUACUUCUCUCCAGACUCAUUCUGUUUCCUAAAGGAAAUGAGAAAUUGCCGAAAUUCAGCACAAGUGAGAGAGCCGGAAGCUACAGCUGACCACAUCCACAUGUGGGUCUCCUGCGGGGCUGCCUAAGAGACAUUCUUAAAUGAUGACCCUUCUCAAGGGUCCAGGGUCAGCCCCUGGGCUGUUGACCCUCCACUGAGACUCCACCCAGCACCAGAUGGGAUGUGAAGGCCCCUCCCUAACUCCCAGUGCCGCAGAGGGAUGGGAACAAGCCUCGCUGGAAAACUCCCAGCCCACCACCUAUUUAAGAGUGAAUCUGGAGAAGGGGCUGGGAGCAAAGCCUGUGUGGCAGGGACAGGCAAGGCCUUCUCUUGUGUGUUCAGAGGACUAGCGGGGCUGGACUCAGUGUCUGGUCACUGUGGAGCAUCAGCCAGUUAUGUUUUUGCCACCAGCACACAGAUCCCUGAAUGAGAGCAGCUCAUGACUCCCUCCACCGAAUGGCAAAACCACACCCACGUCUGAAGGGGGUUUUCCCGGGGGUUAAUCACCAGGGAGUUUGUCUCCCCUCCAAGGAGGGAAGAGAAAACCCUCAUUUCAGAAAAAGGUCACUGAAUGCCUGGUUCACAGGAGAAAUUGCUACGUUGGGCUUGAAAGCGACUACGCUUUCAGCUGCUGAGCCCAAAGGCUCUCUCCACAAAGGGGCAUCCAGGCAGAGGAUGAGGGGAAGAUAUCGAGGGCUAAGACUGUCGUUUAUCCAAUGGGCCCUCGAACUGCCUGUGUGCAGUAGGAGCUGUUCACCACUAUUCAAUUUUAGGCUGUGUGUGUGUGUGUGUGUGUGUGUGUGUGUGUGUAUGCUGGGGGUUGAGUGGGGCUGGGUUUGUUCUGUUAACAUUCUAAAAAGCGUGCAAAGGUACAAUGAACUCCCAUGUACUCUAACCCAGAUUCAAUAAUUACCAAGAUUCUGCCACACGA
Acinonyx jubatus (cheetah) is the source of this 3436-nucleotide long non-coding RNA. RefSeq lists it as uncharacterized. The record is from RefSeq and is a predicted model, not a curated record. The transcript has 3 exons. Lineage: Eukaryota; Metazoa; Chordata; Mammalia; Carnivora; Felidae.